GACGAACGCUGGCGGCGUGCUUAACACAUGCAAGUCGAGCGGAAAGGCCCUGCUUUUGUGGGGUGCUCGAGUGGCGAACGGGUGAGUAACACGUGAGUAACCUGCCCUUGACUUUGGGAUAACUUCAGGAAACUGGGGCUAAUACCGGAUAGGAGCUCCUGCUGCAUGGUGGGGGUUGGAAAGUUUCGGCGGUUGGGGAUGGACUCGCGGCUUAUCAGCUUGUUGGUGGGGUAGUGGCUUACCAAGGCUUUGACGGGUAGCCGGCCUGAGAGGGUGACCGGCCACAUUGGGACUGAGAUACGGCCCAGACUCCUACGGGAGGCAGCAGUAGGGAAUAUUGCACAAUGGGCGGAAGCCUGAUGCAGCAACGCCGCGUGCGGGAUGACGGCCUUCGGGUUGUAAACCGCUUUCGCCUGUGACGAAGCGUGAGUGACGGUAAUGGGUAAAGAAGCACCGGCUAACUACGUG
This 468-nucleotide ribosomal RNA is filed under the name uncultured bacterium. RNAcentral describes it as "partial 16S ribosomal RNA". It matches the Rfam family "Bacterial small subunit ribosomal RNA", at positions 28 to 507 of the family's 1533-position model. The record is from RNAcentral.